Molecule: unclassified non-coding RNA, 244 nt
Filed under: uncultured fungus
Lineage: Eukaryota; Fungi
Description: sequence contains ITS1, 5.8S rRNA gene
Rfam family: 5.8S ribosomal RNA (bases 196-244)
Source: RNAcentral
UUUCCGUAGGUGAACCUGCGGAAGGAUCAUUAAAGAGUUGUUGGUAGCUUGCUACCUCCUCUCCACCCUUUGUUUACAUUACCAUUGUUGCUUUGGCAGGUCCGUCUCCGGACCACCGGCUUUGGCUGGUCAGUACCUGCCAGAGGACCCAAAACUCUGUUUAAUCAUAUUGUCUGAGUACUAUAUAAUAGUUAAAACUUUCAACAACGGAUCUCUUGGUUCUGGCAUCGAUGAAGAACGCAGC